Molecule: ribosomal RNA, 999 nt
Filed under: uncultured bacterium
Lineage: Bacteria
Description: bacterial SSU rRNA
Rfam family: Bacterial small subunit ribosomal RNA
Source: RNAcentral
GUGCCAGCAGCCGCGGUAAUACGUAGGGUGCGAGCGUUAAUCGGAAUCACUGGGCGUAAAGGGAGCGUAGGCGGCGUGGUAAGUCAGAUGUGAAAUCCCGGGGCUCAACCCCGGAACUGCAUCCGAUACUGCCAUGCUAGAGGAUUGGAGAGGUAGCUGGAAUUCUUGGUGUAGCAGUGAAAUGCGUAGAGAUCAAGAGGAACACUCGUGGCGAAAGCGAGCUACUGGACAAUUCCUGACGCUGAGGCUCGAAGGCUAAGGUAGCGAAAGGGAUUAGAUACCCCUGUAGUCCUAGCAGUAAACGGUGCACGCUUGGUGUGAGGGGAAUCGACCCCCCUUGUGCCGGAGCUAACGCGUUAAGCGUGCCGCCUGGGAAGUACGGUCGCAAGACUAAAACUCAAAGAAAUUGACGGGGACCCGCACAAGCGGUGGAGUAUGUGGCUUAAUUCGAUGCAACGCGAAGAACCUUACCAAGGCUUGACAUGCAUCUCUAAACACGUGAAAGCGCGUGACCCUUCGGGGAAUUUGCACAGGUGCUGCAUGGCCGUCGUCAGCUCGUGUCGUGAGAUGUUGGGUUAAGUCCCGCAACGAGCGCAACCCUUGUGAUUAGUUGCCAGCACGUCAAGGUGGGAACUCUAAUCAGACUGCCCAGAUCAACUGGGAGGAAGGUGGGGACGACGUCAGGUCAGUAUGGCCCUUACGCCUUGGGCUGCACACGUACUACAAUGCCCAGCACAAUGAGAACCGAUGCCGCGAGGUGGAGGAAAUCUGUAAAACUGGGCUCAGUUCGGAUUGGAGGCUGCAACUCGCCUCCAUGAAGUUGGAAUCGCUAGUAAUGGUGCAUCAUCUACGGCACCGUGAAUACGUUCCCGGGUCUUGUACACACCGCCCGUCACAUCAUGGAAGCCGGUCGCACCCGAAGUGCUCGUACCAACCUGCAAAGGGGGUAGAGUCCUAAGGUGUAGCUGGUAACUGGGAUGAAGUCGUAACAAGGUAACC